Molecule: transfer RNA, 71 nt
Filed under: Microcaldota archaeon
Lineage: Archaea; Nanobdellati; Microcaldota
Description: tRNA-Gly
Rfam family: tRNA
About the family: Transfer RNA (tRNA) molecules are approximately 80 nucleotides in length. Their secondary structure includes four short double-helical elements and three loops (D, anti-codon, and T loops).
Source: RNAcentral
GCGGCCAUGGUACAGUGGUAGCACGUGAGCUUCCCAAGCUCGAGACCCGGGUUCGAUUCCCGGUGGCCGCA